Molecule: unclassified non-coding RNA, 25 nt
Filed under: Mus musculus (house mouse)
Lineage: Eukaryota; Metazoa; Chordata; Mammalia; Rodentia; Muridae
Description: oocyte_clustered_small_RNA11804
Source: RNAcentral
CUUCCCUGACACGGGAGAGGGGCAA